CAAAAUAUUAUUUAUGCCAGGGGGAGUCAAAUGGCGGCACCCAGAUAAUUUUUAUCUGGCCCUCCAACUGGUUUUUGAUGUUUAAAACCGCUCGCAAUCUGAUAUCAAAGUCCCCGCAAAGGUUUAGCGUUUUCAGCGUGAAUGUCAACCCGUUCUCACGCUGAAGAAGUCUCCUUCAGAACACAUCGCGAUAUUUGGCAUCAGUUCGCGUGUGCUGGAUGUUGGUAAGUAGUCGUAAAUACGCUGUUCUAAUGUUUGAUAUAAUGUCUUUUCUGUUUGCAGAUAUUAAUCAGAUUAACGUUAGCUCCCUCAUGUUCAGUCACUGCAUUAUAUCUGUCACCUCCGCUAAGGUUUUGCUUUUCAUUGUUUUCUAUAUUAAAUAGUACUAAACUAGGGUGAUUAAACACUGUCACGUGACGUGCAAUAUAUUGCACAAUAUAUAUAACAUAUUCAUAUCAGGUUCAAAGUAGUACAAGUGUAGUUUCAAAAUGGUAUUUGUUGUAGAAGCACGGUAAAAAAACAACACUUACCAUGCUUUUUACCACAGUAUUGGUAGUUUUAAUUAGAUUUUUGUUGUAAAUACAGAGUAACCACAACACUUAUCAUGCUUUUAAUGCCUAAUAAUGUUAAAUCCAAAAACUGUAAGGUCAAUAAGAACUUCUUUCCUAUAUAUAUUUAUAUAUAAACCUAUAUAUUAUAAAUAAUGAUAUUUUCUUUUCUCUUGUUUUAGCUGAAAAGACAAAAAGGGCCUUUUGGAAAUGGAUGAAGGAGACAGAAAGCUGCAAAGGCAAAUAAUUGCAAUGGAUUACUUGCAGAUUACUUAGUCCUUCUUUUUAGGAUCUCUACAACAUCAAACUCAACAGCUCUUUUAAGAGCCGACCCUCACAAGAGCUACUAGUGAGUCGCUGCAAACCUGCCGUGAUCAGCCCUUUCCAGAGAAGGAAGACCAGUCCUUAUAUCAAAACAAGCUCAUCGAAGUCCUUUGUUUAGGGUGAGGAAGGAACAUGACCAUCUCAUGACCAUCUCAUGCCCAAAGAAGACAGAAGUCCAUUGCAAGUGAAGUCACUAACAGAAGAUCCUAGAGGAAAAACGACUGAUGUGCAGCUACGGAGGAACACAAGAGGCAGAAAUAUGCAUGGCCAUGGCUUCUUCAUGAGUACGACCAGGACUGAAGAACGCCUGACAAUGGGAUGUUAAGACUUCUUCCUCUGGUUGAGAAAAAGCUACAGCACAUCAGUGAUCACAUCUUCUGGUCAUCAGUUGUACUGUAGAGUACAACUGAACAAACUGUUUAGAAGAAGAAGAACAUGAACAUGAUAGAGACGUGUACAGGGAAGAGCAAGAACCCAGUUCAGCUGUGAUAAUGAAUCUUUAUUUUAAACUCAAUAUCAAAUCUGUUUUCUGGAUCAUAGUUGACUGGAUGGGAUUCUGUGGCGCUCAUUUGUGCAAUAGGAGUAAAGUCUGUGAAUGGAUUAUUAUGACAUUAACGUAUUUUUGAAGACACGUUUUUAUUUAUCUUGAAUCUCAUUUGUCUUUAUGCAAAUUUCAACCUUAUGCUGUAUCCUCCAAUAAAGUGUUGUGUAAUAAAUUAUGGUGAACGUG
Megalobrama amblycephala (Wuchang bream) is the source of this 1602-nucleotide long non-coding RNA. RefSeq lists it as uncharacterized. NCBI's taxonomy places the organism in Eukaryota, Metazoa, Chordata, Actinopteri, Cypriniformes, Xenocyprididae. The transcript has 6 exons. The record is from RefSeq and is a predicted model, not a curated record.